This 253-nucleotide ribosomal RNA is filed under the name uncultured bacterium. Its description in RNAcentral is "partial 16S ribosomal RNA". It matches the Rfam family "Bacterial small subunit ribosomal RNA", at positions 524 to 776 of the family's 1533-position model. The record is from RNAcentral.
UACGUAGGGUGCGAGCGUUAAUCGGAAUUACUGGGCGUAAAGUGUGCGCAGGCGGUCUGUUAAGUCUGAUGUGAAAGCCCGGGGCUCACCCCCGGAAGUGCAUUGGAUACUGGCGGACUCGAGUCUCGGAGAGGAGGGUGGAAUUCCUGGUGUAGCGGUGAAAUGCGUAGAUAUCAGGAGGAACACCGGUGGCGAAGGCGGCCCUCUGGACGAUGACUGACGCUGAGACGCGAAAGCGUGGGGAGCAAACAGG